ACCCCUGUGAGAAUGCCCUACAGUUCCCUGCCCGGGAACAAGGAGCUGGUAUCAGGCACAAAUAUUUUUAAGCCCACGACACCUUGCUUAGCCACACCCCCAAGGGAACUCAGCAGUGACAGACAUUAAGCCAUAAGUGAAAACUUGACUUAGUCAAAGCUAAGAGGGCCGGUAAAACUCGUGCCAGCCACCGCGGUUAUACGAGAGGCCCAAGUUGAUAGACUCCGGCGUAAAGAGUGGUUAAGACAAAUUUUUAAACUAAAGCCGAAUGCCCUCAGGGCUGUUAUACGCUCCCGAAGGUAAGAAGCCCAAUCACGAAAGUGGCUUUAUAUGAGCUGAACCCACGAAAGCUAUGAUACAAACUGGGAUUAGAUACCCCACUAUGCCUAGCCGUAAACAUUGAUAGUACUAUACAACUACUAUCCGCCUGGGAACUACGAGCACCAGCUUGAAACCCAAAGGACUUGGCGGUGCUUUAGACCCACCUAGAGGAGCCUGUUCUAGAACCGAUAACCCCCGUUCAACCUCACCCUUCCUUGUUUUUCCC
This 547-nucleotide ribosomal RNA is filed under the name Labracoglossa argenteiventris (yellowstripe butterfish). Its description in RNAcentral is "partial 12S rRNA". It matches the Rfam family "Bacterial small subunit ribosomal RNA", at positions 186 to 991 of the family's 1533-position model. The record is from RNAcentral. Lineage: Eukaryota; Metazoa; Chordata; Actinopteri; Centrarchiformes; Kyphosidae.